RNAcentral lists this ribosomal RNA (597 nucleotides) under uncultured bacterium. Its description in RNAcentral is "bacterial SSU rRNA". It matches the Rfam family "Bacterial small subunit ribosomal RNA", at positions 338 to 956 of the family's 1533-position model. The record is from RNAcentral.
CCUACGGGAGGCAGCAGUGGGGAAUUUUGCGCAAUGGGGGAAACCCUGACGCAGCAACGCCGCGUGGAGGAUGAAAUAUCUUGGUAUGUAAACUCCUUUCGAUGGGGAAGAUAAUGACGGUACCCAUAGAAGAAGCCCCGGCUAACUUCGUGCCAGCAGCCGCGGUAAUACGAGGGGGGCAAGCGUUGUUCGGAUUUAUUGGGCGUAAAGGGUGCGUAGGCGGUUUGGCAAGUCUUGUGUGAAAUCUUCGGGCUCAACCCGAAGCCUGCACAAGAAACUGCCGGGCUUGAGUAUUGGAGAGGUGAGUGGAAUUUCCGGUGUAGCGGUGAAAUGCGUAGAUAUCGGAAGGAACACCUGUGGCGAAAGCGGCUCACUGGACAAUAACUGACGCUGAUGCACGAAAGCUAGGGGAGCAAACAGGAUUAGAUACCCUGGUAGUCCUAGCCCCAAACGAUGAUUGUUUGAUGUGGCAGGUACCCAAUCCUGCCGUGUCGAAGCUAACGCGAUAAACAAUCCGCCUGGGGAGUACGGUCGCAAGGCNGAACGUAAAUAGAAGUAGACGGCGUGAGAGUUGCGAACGACGACACGAGGGAGAGG